This 106-nucleotide small RNA is filed under the name Escherichia coli. RNAcentral describes it as "partial RtT sRNA". It matches the Rfam family "RtT RNA", at positions 27 to 130 of the family's 130-position model. Rfam says of the family: This family represents a bacterial cis-regulatory element known as RtT RNA. The exact function of RtT is unknown although it is thought that it may be involved in changing the cellular response in relation to amino acid starvation. Lineage: Bacteria; Pseudomonadati; Pseudomonadota; Gammaproteobacteria; Enterobacterales; Enterobacteriaceae. The record is from RNAcentral.
AAGCUUCGACUAAGGUUCGACUCGAGCGCCAGCGAGAGAGCGUUGCCGCAGGCAACGACCCGAAGGGCGAAGCGCGCAGCGCUGAGUAAUCCUUCCCCCACCACCA